AUUGAACGCUGGCGGCACGCCUAACACAUGCAAGUCGAGCGGUAGCAUGAUUAGUAGCAAUACUAAUUGAUGACGGGCGGCGGACGGGUGAGUAAUACGUAGGAACCUGCCCUCAAGCGGGGGAUAACUAAGGGAAACUUUAGCUAAUACCGCAUAAUCUCGAGAGAGUAGAGCUGCAGCAAUGCGGCACUUGAGGAGGGGCCUGCGUCAGAUUAGCUAGUUGGUGAGGUAAUAGCUCACCAAGGCGAUGAUCUGUAACUGGUCUGAGAGGACGACCAGUCACACUGGGACUGAGACACGGCCCAGACUCCUACGGGAGGCAGCAGUGGGGAAUAUUGGACAAUGGGGGCAACCCUGAUCCAGCGAUGCCGCGUGGGUGAAGAAGGCCUUCGGGUUGUAAAGCCCUUUAGGUUGGGAAGAAGGUUAGUGGAGGAAAUGCCAUUAAUUUGACGGUACCAACAGAAUAAGCACCGGCAAACUCUGUGCCAGCCGCCGCAGUAA
This 501-nucleotide ribosomal RNA is filed under the name uncultured bacterium. Its description in RNAcentral is "partial 16S ribosomal RNA". It matches the Rfam family "Bacterial small subunit ribosomal RNA", at positions 30 to 523 of the family's 1533-position model. The record is from RNAcentral.